CCCACCUAUGCGGUUGUUGGUGCGCCGUGUGUGUGUGUGUGUCCUCUCACGUCUUCCUCGACUCUGACGACGCAGCCUUGCGCUUCCCUUCCGUUCCCCGGGGCGGCGAAUCUUACCCUCAUCGCCGUGAUCGAACAACGCGCAGAGGGAUGCAGCAAGAGCGAGCGAGCGAGAGAGAGAGAGAGAGCAAUGCUGAACAUAUGCGCUGCCUCAUUCCACUCCGCUUUCCUCCACACAUGCAUAUGUACGUUCUAUGCGAAAAGCGCACCUUGGGGCAUUGAGUGUGGACGACUGACGCUGCCGCGUCUUCUCUCCUUCGUACCUUUUCACUCGCGCCCGCCUGCGCGAGCGCAUGCGUGUGUGCCGGUGCCCGCGGAAGCGCUGGCUUUCUUUUGCCCGUCUAUCAUUGUGCGCUUGCGCGGGGUCAUGGCGGCGCGAGACGAGAUCGGGGGGGGCGGUCGAGUUUACUUGUUUAUUCGCAGUGCAAGCGCCAUCUUUGUCGUGUCUGCCGGCGUUGCUUCUGGUGCCCCUUUUCUCUGGGAGGGGGCCCCAGUGACCUCAUGGACCCCUUCUCCCUCUCCCGCCAUUUUCAGUGUCCGCGUUGACAGAGCAAGCCCCGCCCACCCGCGACCCCCUUCGCGUCUGCACCCGGUGAGGCAGGAAGGAGGAAGGACGGGGGUGGCACCGCACUCUCGCCAGCCCACAGGCGCAGGCGUAUGCGCGUGUCUGUGCCCUUGUAGCGAGGACGCGCUGCGUGCCUGCCGGUAUGGCCCUCUCGGUGUGUAGGCGGCACGAUCAAACACACACAGACACACAACCCGCCCCAGCAGUCGGAUCGAAUGGGACGAAUACGCCGGACUCGCCUGACGGCCUCGGUGCAUCUCUCCCUCUCUCCCGCUCUCGCACGCUGGGGAAGAAAUGGAAGCAUCUAUGUAGAUGGAUGUGUGCGUACGUGUGCUUGCGUGUGCCUGUGUAUGUUUGUGCGCUGAAUAACCACGGGUAAAUUUUACGAUGCAAUCCCUUAAGAUGAAUUCCACAGCAGAAAUACAGAAAAAAAAAGAAGAAACUCUCUAAUCAUGGGGGCGGCGUGGUAUAUGCAUGCAUGCAAGUCUGUGUGCUUGCAUAUCUGUGUUGCAGCGACAGCGCUAUCUUGUUCUUGAUCGGGGACGCGUUGGCGCUGCCACCAUUCCCACCCCCUCCCUUACUUUUCGUCCUUGUGGUCGCACGCAUGUGCGGCGCACAGGGGCGUGCUCUGUCACCUCCUCUCGUCCCGUUUCCUUUGUGCGUGGCGCAGAGGUAUUGAAGAGGCGAAAGGAGGGAUGAUGGGGAGAAAGGCGCGACCUCUUCGAGAGUGUCCUCUCAGUGCGUUCCGGCCUCUUUCUAUGCAUACGGAUGACGACACCAGUCCCGUCUGCGUGUGUCCUUGUCUGCGUGUAUUGGGGCCCCCCUUCAAGACGUACAUGCCGUGCCGAAAUUCAUCUCUCGAUCACACACUCUUUAUCCCGUAUCCUUUACACACUGGCCUUCUCCAUCCGCCCUCUCUUUUUUUUUUGUGCGCUGUGCUCAAACCCUGUCACGGUUUCUUCCUCUACCCCCUUCCACUCCCUUCCUUCGUUCCUUCGUCGCCGUUGAUGGCGCAG
This 1640-nucleotide unclassified non-coding RNA is filed under the name Leishmania donovani. RNAcentral describes it as "gene:unknown". The record is from RNAcentral. Lineage: Eukaryota; Euglenozoa; Kinetoplastea; Trypanosomatida; Trypanosomatidae.